Long non-coding RNA from Mesoplodon densirostris (Blainville's beaked whale), 319 nucleotides. RefSeq lists it as uncharacterized. The record is from RefSeq and is a predicted model, not a curated record. NCBI's taxonomy places the organism in Eukaryota, Metazoa, Chordata, Mammalia, Artiodactyla, Ziphiidae. The transcript has 3 exons.
CACGACAGUGACGUCACAGGCGCGCCAAGGCCUCGCGGACGGUGGCCGGCGCGGCUCAGUAAGGCCCGCGGACUCGGCGAACUGUGUGGAAGGAGCGGGAUGUGUAGAGCUCAGCAGCGGCGAGGUACAAAACAAAGAAUCGCUUUGCACAAAGCCAGAAGGGCUAUGCUGAAAGAAUGAUCAGAAAAGAAUAAUACAUAGCAGGCCCACUGCUAGGCCUCUCACCUGAGAAGUCCUGAAUCGGGAAGACACAGGCUGUAUCAGUUGCACUGCGGCCUUAUUCACAAUAGCCAAGAUGGUGAAGCAACCCAAAUGUCCA